Molecule: ribosomal RNA, 253 nt
Filed under: uncultured bacterium
Lineage: Bacteria
Description: partial 16S ribosomal RNA
Rfam family: Bacterial small subunit ribosomal RNA
Source: RNAcentral
UACGUGAGGGGCAAACGUUGUUCGGUGUCACUGGGCUUAAAGGGUGCGUAGGUGGUUGCGUAAGUAACGUGUGAAAUCCCCCGGCUUACCCGGGGAAUUGCGCGUUAUACUGCGUAACUUGAGGACUGUAGGGGAAUGGGGAACUCCAGGUGUAGCGGUGAAAUGCUUAGAUAUCGGGUGGAACACCAGUGGCGAAGGCGCUGCUCUGGGCCGGUACUGACGCUGAGGAGCGAAAGCGUGGGUAGCAAACAGG